CAGUCGCCGCGGUAAAACGUAGGGUGCAAGCGUUAAUCGGAAUUACUGGGCGUAAAGCGUGCGCAGGCGGUGUUGUAAGACUGAUGUGAAAUCCCCGGGCUCAACCUGGGAACUGCAUUGGUGACUGCAACGCUGGAGUGCGGCAGAGGGGGAUGGAAUUCCGCGUGUAGCAGUGAAAUGCGUAGAUAUGCGGAGGAACACCGAUGGCGAAGGCAGCCCCCUGGGCCAAUACUGACGCUCAUGCACGAAAGCGUGGGGAGCAAACAGGAUUAGAUACCCCAGUAGUCCCUGUCUCUUAUAA
This 301-nucleotide ribosomal RNA is filed under the name uncultured bacterium. RNAcentral's name for it is "partial 16S ribosomal RNA". It matches the Rfam family "Bacterial small subunit ribosomal RNA", at positions 509 to 809 of the family's 1533-position model. The record is from RNAcentral.